CAUUUAUGGAGAGUUUGAUCCUGGCUCAGAGUGAACGCUGGCGGCGUGCCUAACACAUGCAAGUCGAACGAGAACGG
This 77-nucleotide ribosomal RNA is filed under the name Hydrogenimonas thermophila. RNAcentral's name for it is "16S rRNA. Bacterial SSU". It matches the Rfam family "Bacterial small subunit ribosomal RNA", at positions 1 to 75 of the family's 1533-position model. Lineage: Bacteria; Pseudomonadati; Campylobacterota; Epsilonproteobacteria; Campylobacterales; Hydrogenimonadaceae. The record is from RNAcentral.